This 459-nucleotide ribosomal RNA is filed under the name uncultured bacterium. RNAcentral's name for it is "partial 16S ribosomal RNA". It matches the Rfam family "Bacterial small subunit ribosomal RNA", at positions 338 to 795 of the family's 1533-position model. The record is from RNAcentral.
CCUACGGGUGGCAGCAGUGAGGAAUAUUGGUCAAUGGGAGAGAUCCUGAACCAGCCAAGCCGCGUGAGGGAAGACGGCCCUAUGGGUUGUAAACCUCUUUUGUCGGAGAACAAAACCCGGGACGUGUCCCGGACUGCGUGUAUCCGAAGAAAAAGCAUCGGCUAACUCCGUGCCAGCAGCCGCGGUAAUACGGAGGAUGCGAGCGUUAUCCGGAUUUAUUGGGUUUAAAGGGUGCGUAGGCGGUCCGUUAAGUGAGCGGUAAAAGUGCGGGGCUCAACCCCGUCGAGCCGUUGAAACUGGCAGACUAGAGUGGGCGAGAGGUACGCGGAAUGCGCGGUGUAGCGGUGAAAUGCAUAGAGAUCGCGCAGAACUCCGAUUGCGAAGGCAGCGUACCGGCGCCAGACUGACGCUGAGGCACGAAAGCGUGGGGAUCGAACAGGAUUAGAUACCCCUGUAGUC